RNAcentral lists this ribosomal RNA (440 nucleotides) under uncultured bacterium. RNAcentral's name for it is "partial 16S ribosomal RNA". It matches the Rfam family "Bacterial small subunit ribosomal RNA", at positions 338 to 795 of the family's 1533-position model. The record is from RNAcentral.
CCUACGGGUGGCAGCAGUGAGGAAUAUUGCACAAUGGGCGAAACCCUGAUCCAGCGACGCAGCGUGAGUGAUGAAGUAUUUCGGUGUGUAAAGCUCUAUCAGCAGGGAAGAAAAUGACUCUACCUGAUUAAGUAUCCCCGGACAACUACGUGCCAGCAGCCGCGGUUAUACGGAGGGGGCAGCGGUGAUCCGGAAUUACUGGGUGUAAUGGGGGCGGAGACGGCUGCACGAGGCUGUAGGGAAAUGCCGGGGAUUAAACCCGGAACCGCUUUUGAAACUGGGCAGCUAGAGUGCAGGAGAGGUAAGCGGAAUUCGUAGUGUAGCGGUGAAAUGCGUAGAUAUUAGGAGGAACCCCAGUGGCGAAGGCAGCUUACUGGGGUGCAACUGACGCUGAGGCUCGAAAGCGUGGGGAGCAAACAGGAUUAGAUACCCUAGUAGUC